Molecule: ribosomal RNA, 210 nt
Filed under: uncultured Deinococcus sp.
Lineage: Bacteria; Thermotogati; Deinococcota; Deinococci; Deinococcales; Deinococcaceae
Description: partial 16S ribosomal RNA
Rfam family: Bacterial small subunit ribosomal RNA
Source: RNAcentral
CGUGUAGGCGGUUCAUUAAGUCUGGUUUUAAAGACCGAGGCUCAACCUCGGGCAUGGACUGGAUACUGGUGAACUUGACCUCUGGAGAGGUAACUGGAAUUCCUGGUGUAGCGGUGGAAUGCGUAGAUACCAGGAGGAACACCAAUGGCGAAGGCAAGUUACUGGACAGAAGGUGACGAUGAGGCGCGAAAGUGUGGGGAGCGAACCGGA